RNAcentral lists this long non-coding RNA (219 nucleotides) under Elaeis guineensis (African oil palm). RNAcentral's name for it is "long non-coding RNA (EGUI_LNC062123)". The record is from RNAcentral. Lineage: Eukaryota; Viridiplantae; Streptophyta; Magnoliopsida; Arecales; Arecaceae.
AUGGUGACACUUGCAACCGUCUGGUAGUGGGCCGCCCACGGUCAGGGAAAUUAAUUGCGGAGAGUGGUGGGGUAGACUCGUGGCUAUUGUCAUAGUCUGCCACGUAUGGUCUGUUGCGGAUAGUGGGGCGGCGUCCGUUGCCGCUAGCUGUCAGUGAGUAGUGGGAUCGUGCAGAACCUGCCGCAGGGAGCGGAACAGAAUCGUGGCCGUUUGCUACAG